GUGCAGCAGGCGCGAAACCUCCGCAAUACACGAAAGUGUGACGGGGCCAUCCCGAGUGCCGUCCGCUGAGGACGACUUUUCCCCAGUGUACACAGCUGGGGGAAUAAGGAGAGGGCAAGCCUGGUGUCAGCCGCCGCGGUAAUACCAGCUCUCCGAGUGGUGGGGACGCUUAUUGGGCCUAAAGCAUCCGUAGCCGGCUGGGCAAGCCCUCCGUUAAAUCCAACGAUUCAAUCGUUGGGCUGCGGGGGAUACUGUCCAGCUUGGGGGCGGGAGAGGCCGACGGUAUUCCCGGGGUAGGGGUGAAAUCCUAUAAUCCCGGGAGGACCACCAGUGGCGAAGGCUGUCGGCUGGAACGCGCCCGACGGUGAGGGGAUGAAAAGCUGGGGGAGCGAACCGGAUUAGAUACCCGCGUAGU
Molecule: ribosomal RNA, 415 nt
Filed under: uncultured microorganism
Description: bacterial SSU rRNA
Rfam family: Archaeal small subunit ribosomal RNA
Source: RNAcentral